RNAcentral lists this ribosomal RNA (512 nucleotides) under uncultured bacterium. Its description in RNAcentral is "partial 16S ribosomal RNA". It matches the Rfam family "Bacterial small subunit ribosomal RNA", at positions 28 to 507 of the family's 1533-position model. The record is from RNAcentral.
GAUGAACGCUGGCGGCGUGCCUAAUACAUGCAAGUCGAACGAAACUUCUUUAUCACCGAGUGCUUGCACUCACCGAUAAAGAGUUGAGUGGCGAACGGGUGAGUAACACGUGGGCAACCUACCCAAAAGAGGGGGAUAACACUUGGAAACAGGUGCUAAUACCGCAUAACCAUAGUUACCGCAUGGUAACUAUGUAAAAGGUGGCUAUACUACCGCUUUUGGAUGGGCCCGCGGCGCAUUAGCUAGUUGGUAGGGUAAAGGCUUACCAAGGCAAUGAUGCGUAGCCGAAUUGAGAGGUUGAUCGGCCACAUUGGGACUGAGACACGGCCCAAACUCCUACGGGAGGCAGCAGUAGGGAAUCUUCCACAAUGGGCGAAAGCCUGAUGGAGCAACGCCGCGUGAGUGAAGAAGGUCUUCGGAUCGUAAAACCCUGUUGUUAGAGAAGAAAGUGCGUGAGAGUAACUGUUCACGUUUCGACGGUAUCUAACCAGAAAGCCACGGCUAACUACGUG